Thalassophryne amazonica is the source of this 862-nucleotide long non-coding RNA. RefSeq lists it as uncharacterized. The record is from RefSeq and is a predicted model, not a curated record. NCBI's taxonomy places the organism in Eukaryota, Metazoa, Chordata, Actinopteri, Batrachoidiformes, Batrachoididae. The transcript is spliced from 2 exons.
UUGAAAAUGAUGAUGAAAAACCAGAGUCAUCACAGCUCCAUCAAAGCCGAAGUGAUGAGAUCACAGAGGCUGAGCCUCUAGCCAGCAGCUCAUCUGUACACAGAACACUGACUGCAGAAGCUGAUGGAAAAGAUGAUGGGGGACCACAACCAGCCAGCAACUUGGGUCCAAACAGUCAUUUACAACGAGAUACCAGUGGCAGGAGUUCAGAUACUUCUGGAACUGAGACUGAUGACAGUUACGACUGGAAACAGACCAGAGAACUUCAGUCACAUUUUAAUUAUGGAAAAAAUACUAACAUUGUUAGUUUAAGCAAUUGCAAGAUUGGUGAGAAACAAUAUAAUUGUUCUAAGUAUGGAAAAGUAUCUGGUCACAUAAACAACUUAGAUCGACACAAGGGGAGGCAAACAAGCGUAAAACCAUUUAGAUGUUCUGAUCGGGGUAAAAGACAAAAACAGAAAGCCACCUGAAAAAACACACAAGAAUUCAUACAGGAGAAAAACCAUUUGGCUGUUCUGAAUGUGGUAAAACAUUUGGAAAAAAGAGCAACUUGAACACACACAUGAUAAUUCAUACAGGACGAAAACAGUUUGGCUGUUCUGAAUGUGGUCAAAGGUUUGGACUAAAGAGCAGCCUGAACAGACACACGAUAAUUCAUACAGGACGAAAACAAUUUGGAUGUUCUGAAUGUGGUCAAAGGUUUGGACUAAAGAGCAGCCUGGACAGACACACGAGAAUUCAUACAGGACAAAAACCAUUUGGUUGUUCUGAAUGUGGUAAAGCAUUUAGACAAAAGAGCAACUUGAACACUCACAUGAUAAUUCAUACAGGACAAAAACAGUUUGCCUGUUCUGAAUGUGGU